AGGAUACAAUUUAUAUUCUCCUCAAACAUCAUCGGAAAUGUUUUAGUUAGGAAACAUGAAAUACACGAUGGAUCUUAUUGUCCUCUUGUAGUUUUAUGGUAAGCUACCUGGUCCAUGCGUUCCAAAAUUGUAAAAGACCAUAUUAUUUUGCAAAAAGCUUUGCUUAGAGAAGAUUGACAUUAUGGCAUGAGCACAAGAAAGACCAACGAGCCAAUCUCAAAUACGAAAUCCCGACGUUUGUUCAGGGCCGGUCUCGAGCAUAAGCGAGGGAACCGACCGCUUAGGGCAUCAUAUUUUAAACAAAAAAUUUA
Molecule: long non-coding RNA, 311 nt
Filed under: Brassica napus (rape)
Lineage: Eukaryota; Viridiplantae; Streptophyta; Magnoliopsida; Brassicales; Brassicaceae
Description: long non-coding RNA (BNAP_LNC001277)
Source: RNAcentral